Molecule: RNA transcript, 1242 nt
Organism: Daphnia pulicaria
Lineage: Eukaryota; Metazoa; Arthropoda; Branchiopoda; Diplostraca; Daphniidae
Gene name: cell growth regulator with RING finger domain protein 1-like
Exons: 5
Source: RefSeq, a predicted model, not a curated record
UGUAAACAAAACAAACAUACUCCUGUAAAUAUCGUAACAGUGAAUCGGUGAUCCAUGACAAUAUACACAAACAUUGUCAAAACAAGCCAUUAAGUCAAAUAUUCAACUACAGUUCAUUAGUUCAAUCAGCUUUUAGGCUAAGCUUUUAACUUAACUGAAUUUGCAAUGGCAAAAUUAAGUAUUUUUGUGAAAACUUAACAAAUCACACAGAAUAAUAUACACUCUUUUGAGCUUUAUUGACGAUAUUAUCUACUCUCAAGAGUUUGGUUAACCUAAAAUGCAGAUGCUCCACAUUGCUUCACAGCUUACUUAUUUGGCUGUUGCUGCGAAUUUUGGUUCAAUUUUCACUGUUCUAAUCUGUUGUGCAGCAAUGAUUCUUUUCAUUCGACAGUUUAGUAUUUCUAAAUAUUCAGGCUUUAUGAGUUUGAACCAACUGGGACUUCAGUUGUACAAGUAAAACAACCAGCCCAACAACAACUAUUAAAUAAAGUUAACUUGCCCUUCUCGCUGGAAGUAGGAAAACUUGAUUCAAGUGAUUUGUCAGGAAAUUAUCACUUGACUUUGUACUCUACCAGCUAUUUUCCAUGCCUCUUUCUUGUUUGUAGAGAAAUGUCAUUAGAUGUAGUUAAAAAUUUGAUCAAUGAACCAUGGCAAAAAUUUUUAGAGUUCUUCAGAUCUGAAAUGAAAAUAUGUCCUAAUUUACAAAUAUAUGCUGAAGAAGAGAUUCAUGAAUUAAAGCCUUUUUCAAUAAAGGGUGCACUUGAUUGCAUACCAAGGACGACGUAUGCUUUAGUGGCGUUUCAUAUUAGAACCGAUGCUGAAUACAUGAAUGAUGGAGAUCCAACGGCCCUAAUAACUCUAAUACAUAUUCCUGAUCGCUACUGCAAUGCCCCGGCAACAACUUUGUGUCAGUAUUUAAAAUGCAACGAUGGAAGAGUAUUAAACCUCAAGCCGCUUUAUUCGCCUGAGAAGUCAAGGAUUACACCAAAUGGAGACGAUUCAAGGCAAAGGCAUGAUAACCAAGGCAACAUUAAUUGCGUUAUCUGUUGGAAUUUUCCAGCUACUCAUGUUUUGCUGCCUUGCAGGCACGCUUGCCUUUGUGUGAAUUGCUUCAAACGUGUAGAAAACUGCCCUGUUUGCCGCACUCGUGUUAUGUCUUACUUUUUAGUGUAGAGAAAGCUAGCACAUACCGCUGAUGUUAAAUUGAAUGCAAAGAAACAAAUAUGAAAAGUUUUAUUUAUA